Molecule: ribosomal RNA, 301 nt
Filed under: uncultured bacterium
Lineage: Bacteria
Description: partial 16S ribosomal RNA
Rfam family: Bacterial small subunit ribosomal RNA
Source: RNAcentral
CAGUCGCCGCGGGAAUACGAAGGGGGCUAGCGUUGCUCGGAUUUACUGGGCGUAAAGGGCGCGUAGGCGGAUCGUUAAGUUGGGGGUGAAAGCCCGGGGCUCAACCUCGGAAUUGCCUUCAAUACUGGCUAUCUUGAGUAUGAGAGAGGUGUGUGGAACUCCGAGUGUAGAGGUGAAAUUCGUAGAUAUUCGGAAGAACACCAGUGGCGAAGGCGACACACUGGCUCAUUACUGACGCUGAGGCGCGAAAGCGUGGGGAGCAAACAGGAUUAGAUACCCCAGUAGUCCCUGUCUCUUAUAC